UCUCAAGAAAUUGCUGAUCCGGUUUGAUCAUGGUCCACGCAUUGAUCUACCCCAUUUUGAUGGUACGAACCCGUGCCUCUCGCAAUCACGCUGUGAGGAUUAUAUUUCAAACACUCGCUGUGGAUUCAGUUUGCGACCACUAUGUUUGAAGGGGCCACAACUAGGCGGCUGGAAGCACUUCAACGUUGUGCUCCGAAUGCAACGUGGGAGGAGUUUUGCAGGCCGUUGCAGAACCGUUUUUGGAAGGAACCAACACCAGGCACUGGUACGCAGACUGCACUCGAUCUUGCAGAGUGGAGCGUAAGGAUCGUGCUCCUAGCUCACUCCGUUCAUUCAGGAAUAGCACAGGACUUUCCUGACUCACUCUGGCAGCACUCAUUCCUUACUUGAUACUGAUGUUGCUAAUUCACUCCCUGGAGGUCUUCCUUGUUCUCCUCUUAAGGUUAAG
Molecule: long non-coding RNA, 448 nt
Filed under: Hordeum vulgare
Lineage: Eukaryota; Viridiplantae; Streptophyta; Magnoliopsida; Poales; Poaceae
Description: long non-coding RNA (HVUL_LNC001973)
Source: RNAcentral